Molecule: ribosomal RNA, 253 nt
Filed under: uncultured bacterium
Lineage: Bacteria
Description: partial 16S ribosomal RNA
Rfam family: Bacterial small subunit ribosomal RNA
Source: RNAcentral
UACAGAGGUCCCAAGCGUUGUUCGGAUUCACUGGGCGUAAAGGGUGCGUAGGUGGUGAGGUAAGUCGGAUGUGAAAUCUCCAGGCUCAACCUGGAAAUGGCAUUGGAAACUACCUUGCUAGAGGGUUUGAGGGGGGACUGGAAUACUUGGUGUAGCAGUGAAAUGCGUAGAUAUCAAGUGGAACACCAGUGGCGAAGGCGGGUCUCUGGACAGUUCCUGACACUGAGGCACGAAGGCCAGGGGAGCAAACGGG